GAUGAAGAACGUAGCGAAAUGCGAUAAGUAAUGUGAAUUGCAGAAUUCAGUGAAUCAUCGAAUCUUUGAACGCACCUUGCGCCCUUUGGCCAUUCCGAAGGGCAUGCCUGUUUGAGUAUCAUGAACACCUCAACUCUUUAUGGUUUUCCAUGAUGAGCUUGGACUUUGGGGGUUUUGCUGGCCUAUGGUCGGCUCCUCUAAAAUAAAUCAGCUUACCGGUGUUUGGUGGGUAUCAUGGGUGUGAUAACUAUCUACGCUUGUGGUUUUUCCACCAGGUAACCUUCGACAGCGGAGGUUCACUGGAGCUCAUAGAUGUCUCUCCUCAGCGAGGACAGCCCUUUGAAUGUUUGAUCUCAAAUCAGGUAGGACUACCCGCUGAACUUAAGCAUAUCAAUAGCGGAGGA
This 404-nucleotide unclassified non-coding RNA is filed under the name soil metagenome. RNAcentral describes it as "partial contains 5.8S ribosomal RNA, internal transcribed spacer 2, and large subunit ribosomal RNA". The stretch from base 1 to 121 matches the Rfam family "5.8S ribosomal RNA", at positions 35 to 154 of the family's 154-position model. The record is from RNAcentral.